UACGUAGGGUGCGAGCGUUGUCCGGAAUUAUUGGGCGUAAAGGGCUCGUAGGCGGUUUGUCGCGUCGGGAGUGAAAUCCACUGGCUUAACUGGUGGCUUGCUUUCGAUACGGGCAGACUGGAGGUAUGCAGGGGAGAACGGAAUUCCUGGUGUAGCGGUGAAAUGCGCAGAUAUCAGGAGGAACACCAGUGGCGAAGGCGACUACCUGGCCUGUUCUUGACGCUGAGGCGCGAAAGCUAGGGGAGCAAACGGG
This 253-nucleotide ribosomal RNA is filed under the name uncultured bacterium. RNAcentral describes it as "partial 16S ribosomal RNA". It matches the Rfam family "Bacterial small subunit ribosomal RNA", at positions 524 to 776 of the family's 1533-position model. The record is from RNAcentral.